UAAAAAAUCUCUUCCCAAUAAGUAACGAUUUUUUUUAUGCUAAACCAUAAUCCUCUCUCUCAAGUUCCUCAUUCCUCCACUCUCUUCCAUCUCUCACGUUUCAUCUUCUGCUUUUUUUUUUCCACUUCCACCCUUCUUUUUCUUCUUCUUGCAUAGAGUAGGUUCUAUCACUGAUAAUUCAGGUUCUAUCACUAAUAGUCCUUCUUUGAAACUGAAACCGGUUAAUUUUGAUUAGUCAAUAGAUUUUGGAUUAGUUAAAAACAUUUUGGGAUUAGUUUGGGUUUAUUUUUGCAGGUGGUUAAGGGCGGAAUAUUGCAGAUGAACUCGAUCUACGGUAGUCAAAGAAGUAGGCAACAGAGGUGGUGGUUGUUUUGCUGAUGGAUCUGAAGAUCUACACACAGAAUAUGGUCUCAAAUUCCUCAACAAUUUCCUCUCCGGAAAAACCUUUAUCUCUGGGGAUCAAUUAACAAAGGCUGAUAUAAAGGUUUAUGGAGCUGUUACUGAGAAAAUUGAUUAUUUGAAAUAACCCGUCUAGAUUCGGCCACUGCCGCUGUCGAUUGUGUUUCCACCAUCACACAAACCUCCAUCGUCACAACUCAUCAAAUACAACCAUAACAAAUAUGCCAUUUCUUCCACCAUGAAAAUACUGCUACAUUUCUAGUCACGACAAGUCGGUUUUUGGACUAGAGCAUGGCUCAAAACUGGAGUAGGUUCAUUGGCACGAUAGGAAUUAAUUGGAUGCGGCUCAACUGCAGUAGCGAUCGAAGAGUUGAAGGUCUCGAUUGAAAGCUCAAGCUCCACAGAAAACUUGAAGCGAAUGUUGUAACA
Long non-coding RNA from Vicia villosa (hairy vetch), 828 nucleotides. RefSeq lists it as uncharacterized. The transcript has 5 exons. The record is from RefSeq and is a predicted model, not a curated record. Lineage: Eukaryota; Viridiplantae; Streptophyta; Magnoliopsida; Fabales; Fabaceae.